AGCAUGACCACGAGAUCUCAGAUAUCCAGCUGUCACAGAGGAAGUGGGAAUUUUUAACCAUGAAUGUCAAGUCAUCUUUUCAAUGUGAACGUUUGCUACUGCCAAAUAAGAAACACCAUUUUGUUUUCAGAUGAAAACUAAUGUGGAGUUGAGGCACCAGCCCACUGUCAGCUGGCAUGACCACUCCUGCGGCCUGGGCUUCAGAUUCUCUCUGUAGCUGCAGGCAUUAAAUUAUGAUGAAGGCCACAGAAAAAUGAUUAAGGUCAAAGUGUAGAAUCGUCAGCCUAUGUUAUGUACCAUUGGGUCAUGAGAGUGGAGCGCUCAUGAAUGGAAUUAGUGACCUUAUGAAAGAGAGACUGGAGAGCUCUCUCAUCCUUUCUGCUGUGUGAGGACCUGGUGAAAAGAUGUCAGGUAUGAAACAGAAAGCGAGCCCUCAACAGACACUGCAUCUUUUGGUGCCUUGAUCUUGGACUUUCCAGCCUCCAGAGCUG
Long non-coding RNA from Cercocebus atys (sooty mangabey), 491 nucleotides. RefSeq lists it as uncharacterized. The record is from RefSeq and is a predicted model, not a curated record. Lineage: Eukaryota; Metazoa; Chordata; Mammalia; Primates; Cercopithecidae. The transcript has 3 exons.